UUAAGAGACUAAGCGUACACGGUGGAUGCCCUGGCAGUCAGAGGCGAUGAAGGACGUGCUAAUCUGCGAUAAGCGUCGGUGAGGUGAUAUGAACCGUUAUAACCGGCGAUUUCCGAAUGGGGAAACCCAGUGUGUUUCGACACACUAUCAUUAACUGAAUCCAUAGGUUAAUGAGGCGAACCGGGGGAACUGAAACAUCUAAGUACCCCGAGGAAAAGAAAUCAACCGAGAUUCCCCCAGUAGCGGCGAGCGAACGGGGAGGAGCCCAGAGCCUGAAUCAGUGUGUGUGUUAGUGGAAGCGUCUGGAAAGGCGCGCGAUACAGGGUGACAGCCCCGUACACAAAAAUGCACAUAUUGUGAGCUCGAUGAGUAGGGCGGGACACGUGGUAUCCUGUCUGAAUAUGGGGGGACCAUCCUCCAAGGCUAAAUACUCCUGACUGACCGAUAGUGAACCAGUACCGUGAGGGAAAGGCGAAAAGAACCCCGGCGAGGGGAGUGAAAAAGAACCUGAAACCGUGUACGUACAAGCAGUGGGAGCCUCUUAAUGGGGUGACUGCGUACCUUUUGUAUAAUGGGUCAGCGACUUAUAUUCUGUAGCAAGGUUAACCGAAUAGGGGAGCCGAAGGGAAACCGAGUCUUAACUGGGCGUUAAGUUGCAGGGUAUAGACCCGAAACCCGGUGAUCUAGCCAUGGGCAGGUUGAAGGUUGGGUAACACUAACUGGAGGACCGAACCGACUAAUGUUGAAAAAUUAGCGGAUGACUUGUGGCUGGGGGUGAAAGGCCAAUCAAACCGGGAGAUAGCUGGUUCUCCCCGAAAGCUAUUUAGGUAGCGCCUCGUGAAUUCAUCUCCGGGGGUAGAGCACUGUUUCGGCAAGGGGGUCAUCCCGACUUACCAACCCGAUGCAAACUGCGAAUACCGGAGAAUGUUAUCACGGGAGACACACGGCGGGUGCUAACGUCCGUCGUGAAGAGGGAAACAACCCAGACCGCCAGCUAAGGUCCCAAAGUCAUGGUUAAGUGGGAAACGAUGUGGGAAGGCCCAGACAGCCAGGAUGUUGGCUUAGAAGCAGCCAUCAUUUAAAGAAAGCGUAAUAGCUCACUGGUCGAGUCGGCCUGCGCGGAAGAUGUAACGGGGCUAAACCAUGCACCGAAGCUGCGGCAGCGACACUAUGUGUUGUUGGGUAGGGGAGCGUUCUGUAAGCCUGUGAAGGUGUACUGUGAGGUAUGCUGGAGGUAUCAGAAGUGCGAAUGCUGACAUAAGUAACGAUAAAGCGGGUGAAAAGCCCGCUCGCCGGAAGACCAAGGGUUCCUGUCCAACGUUAAUCGGGGCAGGGUGAGUCGACCCCUAAGGCGAGGCCGAAAGGCGUAGUCGAUGGGAAACAGGUUAAUAUUCCUGUACUUGGUGUUACUGCGAAGGGGGGACGGAGAAGGCUAUGUUGGCCGGGCGACGGUUGUCCCGGUUUAAGCGUGUAGGCUGGUUUUCCAGGCAAAUCCGGAAAAUCAAGGCUGAGGCGUGAUGACGAGGCACUACGGUGCUGAAGCGACAAAUGCCCUGCUUCCAGGAAAAGCCUCUAAGCAUCAGGUAACAUCAAAUCGUACCCCAAACCGACACAGGUGGUCAGGUAGAGAAUACCAAGGCGCUUGAGAGAACUCGGGUGAAGGAACUAGGCAAAAUGGUGCCGUAACUUCGGGAGAAGGCACGCUGAUAUGUAGGUGAAGCGACUUGCUCGUGGAGCUGAAAUCAGUCGAAGAUACCAGCUGGCUGCAACUGUUUAUUAAAAACACAGCACUGUGCAAACACGAAAGUGGACGUAUACGGUGUGACGCCUGCCCGGUGCCGGAAGGUUAAUUGAUGGGGUUAGCGGUAACGCGAAGCUCUUGAUCGAAGCCCCGGUAAACGGCGGCCGUAACUAUAACGGUCCUAAGGUAGCGAAAUUCCUUGUCGGGUAAGUUCCGACCUGCACGAAUGGCGUAAUGAUGGCCAGGCUGUCUCCACCCGAGACUCAGUGAAAUUGAACUCGCUGUGAAGAUGCAGUGUACCCGCGGCAAGACGGAAAGACCCCGUGAACCUUUACUAUAGCUUGACACUGAACAUUGAGCCUUGAUGUGUAGGAUAGGUGGGAGGCUUUGAAGUGUGGACGCCAGUCUGCAUGGAGCCGACCUUGAAAUACCACCCUUUAAUGUUUGAUGUUCUAACGUGGGCCCCUUACCGGGGUUGCGGACAGUGUCUGGUGGGUAGUUUGACUGGGGCGGUCUCCUCCUAAAGAGUAACGGAGGAGCACGAAGGUUGGCUAAUCCUGGUCGGACAUCAGGAGGUUAGUGCAAUGGCAUAAGCCAGCUUGACUGCGAGCGUGACGGCGCGAGCAGGUGCGAAAGCAGGUCAUAGUGAUCCGGUGGUUCUGAAUGGAAGGGCCAUCGCUCAACGGAUAAAAGGUACUCCGGGGAUAACAGGCUGAUACCGCCCAAGAGUUCAUAUCGACGGCGGUGUUUGGCACCUCGAUGUCGGCUCAUCACAUCCUGGGGCUGAAGUAGGUCCCAAGGGUAUGGCUGUUCGCCAUUUAAAGUGGUACGCGAGCUGGGUUUAGAACGUCGUGAGACAGUUCGGUCCCUAUCUGCCGUGGGCGCUGGAGAACUGAGGGGGGCUGCUCCUAGUACGAGAGGACCGGAGUGGACGCAUCACUGGUGUUCGGGUUGUCAUGCCAAUGGCACUGCCCGGUAGCUAAAUGCGGAAGAGAUAAGUGCUGAAAGCAUCUAAGCACGAAACUUGCCCCGAGAUGAGUUCUCCCUGACUCCUUGAGAGUCCUGAAGGAACGUUGAAGACGACGACGUUGAUAGGCCGGGUGUGUAAGCGCAGCGAUGCGUUGAGCUAACCGGUACUAAUGAACCGUGAGGCUUAACCUU
This 2902-nucleotide ribosomal RNA is filed under the name Escherichia coli HVH 90 (4-3191362). Its description in RNAcentral is "bacterial LSU rRNA". It matches the Rfam family "Bacterial large subunit ribosomal RNA". The record is from RNAcentral. Lineage: Bacteria; Pseudomonadati; Pseudomonadota; Gammaproteobacteria; Enterobacterales; Enterobacteriaceae.